This 306-nucleotide ribosomal RNA is filed under the name Triticum aestivum (bread wheat). RNAcentral's name for it is "partial small subunit ribosomal RNA". The record is from RNAcentral. Lineage: Eukaryota; Viridiplantae; Streptophyta; Magnoliopsida; Poales; Poaceae.
AUGGCGAACCCUUGCUGGUGGGUGGUGGCGCCGCAGCCUGUCUCUAAAAACUGUAGGAAAAAUAACAUGGCCAAGAACUACCUCCGUUCACAAAUGGCAUACGGAAGAGCAAACACACGAAAAUUUGACUAUAUACAUAUGAAUCAGAAAAAAGUUGGAACAUCUCAUAAUAGUGACGAAGGGAGUAAGGGUGUGUUUGGAUUGUGGCCAAAGUGCACCUUAUCAAAAUUUUGGACCCAAAGAUUGGUCUUUGUUUGGAUGGUUGCCAAAUUUUUGGCAUGCCAAAUGAACUCUAGCCAACUCUAG